GCGCCUAUAGCUCAGUGGAUAGAGCACUCGCCUCCUAAGCGAGGGGCCGAAGGUUCAAAUCCUUCUAGGCGCGCCA
RNAcentral lists this transfer RNA (76 nucleotides) under Eubacteriales bacterium OttesenSCG-928-M02. Its description in RNAcentral is "tRNA-Arg". It matches the Rfam family "tRNA". Rfam says of the family: Transfer RNA (tRNA) molecules are approximately 80 nucleotides in length. The record is from RNAcentral. Lineage: Bacteria; Bacillati; Bacillota; Clostridia; Eubacteriales.